This 551-nucleotide ribosomal RNA is filed under the name uncultured Archaeospora. Its description in RNAcentral is "SSU rRNA". It matches the Rfam family "Eukaryotic small subunit ribosomal RNA", at positions 548 to 1098 of the family's 1831-position model. The record is from RNAcentral. Lineage: Eukaryota; Fungi; Glomeromycota; Glomeromycetes; Archaeosporales; Archaeosporaceae.
UUGGAGGGCAAGUCUGGUGCCAGCAGCCGCGGUAAUUCCAGCUCCAAUAGCGUAUAUUAAAGUUGUUGCAGUUAAAAAGCUCGUAGUUGAAUUUUGGAUUCUUCCAAUUGGUCCAUCUUUUAGAUGAGUACUGGUUGUGUGGGGUCUAUCCGCCUGGUGAUACGUAAUGUCCUUUAUUGGAUGUUAUGGGUAGUCAGGACCUUUACCUUGAAAAAAUUAGAGUGUUUAAAGCAGGCUUAUGCCGGAAUACAUUAGCAUGGAAUAAUAGAAUAGGACGAAGUUGUUUUAUUUUGUUGGUUUCUAGGACAACCGUAAUGAUUAAUAGGGAUAGUUGGGGGCAUUAGUAUUCAAUUGUCAGAGGUGAAGUUCUUGGAUUUAUUGAAGACUAACUACUGCGAAAGCAUUUUUCAAGGAUGUUUUCAUUAAUCAAGAACGAAAGUUAGGGGAUCGAGGACGAUCAGAUAUCGUCGUAGUCUUAACCAUAAACUAUGCCAACUAGGGAUCGGACGAUGUUAAUUUUUUAAUGACUCAUUCGGCGCCUUACGGGAAAC